RNAcentral lists this non-coding RNA (26 nucleotides) under Homo sapiens (human). Lineage: Eukaryota; Metazoa; Chordata; Mammalia; Primates; Hominidae. The record is from RNAcentral.
UAACAUGGUGCGAAAGUCUGCAGCUU